Phrynosoma platyrhinos (Desert horned lizard) is the source of this 72-nucleotide non-coding RNA. The record is from the annotation of a GenBank genome assembly. Lineage: Eukaryota; Metazoa; Chordata; Lepidosauria; Squamata; Phrynosomatidae.
GAGAGUGUGGUGUAGUGGUUUGAGUGGUGGAUUAUGAUUCUGGAGAUCAGGGUUCGAUUUCCUGCUCAGCCA